RNAcentral lists this ribosomal RNA (253 nucleotides) under uncultured bacterium. Its description in RNAcentral is "partial 16S ribosomal RNA". It matches the Rfam family "Bacterial small subunit ribosomal RNA", at positions 524 to 776 of the family's 1533-position model. The record is from RNAcentral.
UACAGAGGUCUCAAGCGUUGUUCGGAUUCAUUGGGCGUAAAGGGUGCGUAGGCGGCGCGGUAAGUCGGGUGUGAAAUCUUGGAGCUUAACUCCGAAACUGCAUUCGAUACUGCCGUGCUUGAGGACUGGAGAGGAGACUGGAAUUUACGGUGCAGCAGUGAAAUGCGUAGAUAUCGUAAGGAAGACCAGUGGCGAAGGCGAAUCUCUGGACAGUUACUGACACUGAGGCACGAAGGCCAGGGGAGCAAACGGG